This 3013-nucleotide long non-coding RNA is filed under the name Phocoena sinus (vaquita). RNAcentral's name for it is "lncRNA (ENSPSNG00000001598.1)". Lineage: Eukaryota; Metazoa; Chordata; Mammalia; Artiodactyla; Phocoenidae. The record is from RNAcentral.
GAUAAAACAGAACCAGGCUAAAAGUGCCAUUUCAGUGUACUGGGGGACAAGAAAGGUGGUGAGAUAUACAAGGGCCCUAUAGUUUGGAUAUUUGCAACUGUCUAGCUGAGUAAACAGGAUUCAGGGCACACGGGGAAGAAAGGGUUGUGAUCUAGUGGAGGAGAAAUCUUCAAGUAACUAAACGGGGUAGAAUUAUAAAGAGAGAGGAAGGAGGAUGAGCAGCUGGGAUCCUGAGCUGAUGUUCUUAUGAUGGGCCAUUCAGUUGAAUUCAGUUACACUUGGCACCUGCAUUCUUUGCCAGUUUCUGUCCUGGGCACUGGAGCUGCAAAGAUGAGUAAGAUGUGGCCUGUGUUUGUGACAGGGGAUAGGCAUGGUUUGGAUUCAGUGUGGUGAGUGUUAGAACGUGAGCCCUUAUGAGGACAGGAAAGUUGGCCGUUUUUGUUUUUCACUGCCGUCUCCAGCACCUAGUAGCCAGUGAGUGUUCAAUAAAUAUUUGUUGUGUGAAUGAUAGUGGUAUGUAUAAGAUGCUAUGGGAGCAGAGUGGAAAGAUUGGGGGUGAGAGGAAGAGGCAACGUUUGAGGUAAGUAUUGACAGAUUGGUUGGAAUUAGCUAGGAGAUAAGGGUGGGAGUAUGUUUUGGGGCCCAGAGUCUGUUAGAGAUGGGGACAAGGUGAAAGUUGUGCAGAGGAGAUUCUUGGAAUGAAACCACUUGCCUUUCACAUCACUUAAAGGUAGACACUGGAGCUGUGGUCACCACACUGGGCUCUCAGGGUGGCAAGGGGACUAGCAUGGCUUGGGGAGCUCCCACCUUGGAACAGGAGAUGGAUUUUGACAUGAACUGUUUCUCCUCCAGUGCUUCAGUACCAUCUCUGCAGUGGCAGAGAGGGGGCUACAAGGAAACGAGUUUCUUAAAUCACUCAUCUUCAUGUUCACUGAGCAUGAAGAGAGACUUCAGUGAAGUAAUUGGAUGAGUAAGUAAUGAUACUUCUAAGUAACAUUUUAAAGACAAAUAUUACAGAAUUUAUAUUUCUGCUUGAGAAGCCAUCCCUUCAAAGCAGUUACAUAAGGAAGGUUACUUAUUCUCAGAGGUGCUGCUGCCAUUAUUCUAAGUGCCUUUGUAACUCCACUUUGGGGAAAAGCUCUCAAGCCUAUGGGGCACACUUUUAAAUUUCCUAAGUGUUGGCAGAAUUGCCUUUGAGGAAAUAUUUUCUCUUUAACAGUCAAAAGUCACCUGGAGCUGGAACAGAUGAACAGCAGCUCCGGGAUCCACCUACUUCUCUCCCUUCACACUUGCUGCCGCAGACCUUUUUCACCUGGAUUACUGGUGCUGCUGCCCAGAUGACCUCUCUGCUGCCAGUACCUUCUUCUCCAACCCAUUUUCUACAUCACAUUAUUCACUUGACACAUUAAUUAAGAUAUUGUGUGUCAGGGACUAUGCUAGAUGCCUCAGGAACUCAUAGGCUGGCAGGGAAGAUAUAAUGAGUGCAGUACAGUGUGUUAGGAGAGGGUCUCCUAACCUAGUAACAUCUGAGGCAAGACCUAGAGGAUGAAGAGUUAAGCAGGCAAAGGAGAAGGGAGAAAGGAAGAAUGUUAUAAGUAGAGGGAAUAGUAUGUGAUAGCUCAAAGGAAGCAGUGGCUAAAAGGUCACCUGGAAGAUUGGACAGGGAAUGUGACAGAAGAGUAGGAAGUAAGUUUAGAGGUCAUGCAGGGUCCUGCCAACCACAUUAAGGAAUCUGGACAAUCCUGUGGGUGGUGUAGUCACUAAAGAUUUUAAGUAAGACAGUGUCGUGAUCAGAUGGAUGUUUUCAAAAGAACACUGGAUACUGUGAUGGGGAAUAUUAGAGUAAGGAAGGUAGAGACACUGGCUAGGAGGCCACAGCAGUGCUGUAAGCCAGGGGUUGGCAGGCCAGGUGUCACUCCCUAUUUUUCAGUGGUUCAUGAGCGAAGAAUAAGAAUGAUUUUUAAAUGUUUAAAUAGUUGGGGGAAAAAAAGUUUAAAUAGUUGAAAAAUCUAAAGAAUAUUUUGUGACAUAAAAAUUGCAUGAAAUUCAAAUUUCAGUGUCCAUAAAUUACAUUUUUUUGGACCACAGAUGCACUUGUUUACUGAUUGUCUGUGGUUACUUUCAGGCUCUAGAUUUGAGUAGUUGAGAAUCUGGCCUGCACAGCUUAAAACACUACCUGGCCCCUAUAGAAAAGGUGCCUACUCCUGCUCUGAGCAAUGGAUGAUGAUGGCCUACACUAAAGUAGCAGCAGUAGGAAGGAAGAAACUCUGGAUUGGCAUUUAGAGAUUUUUUUAGGACUGAUUCAGGGAGGCCUUUAAGGGGUGGAAUUUACAGGCCUAGAUGAUACAGAUGGGGUGAGGACUACUGCACUAGCCUCCUAGCUGGUCUCCCUACUUUCAUUUUUGCCCCUCUGCAGCCCAUUCACUAUUCCCCAGCCAUUAAAGAAAAAAAAAAAGUGCCAUUCCCUACUUUCAAUUCUAAAAUUACUCUUCUCACUGUUGCCCUUAGGUUAAGUUUCAGAUAAAAUGUUCCUAAUUUAACCCUGCCUACCUCUAUAACCCAAAUGUCUUCAUUCUGGUCUUACUGGACUACUUUAGUUGUAUUUGCCCCAGACCCCAUCUCUUCUUGCCUCCUACGCCUUUGCAUAAACCUCCAUGUGCUUGGAGUCUGCACUAAACCUUCUCCCCACCGCCACUCCCAAAAUGCUUUGUGCAUUUGCAGCGCUGUAGUGUUGGGUGUGUUGCAUGUUUAAAUUUCUGCGUUUAUCCCUAGACUGAAUUUAAGAAGGCAGCAACUGGCGCACUUGUCCAUACCCAGCAGAUAGUAGACGCUUAAUAAAGAACGAACUAAGGUGGACGACUUCAUCUACAUCAUGCGGCAGCCUCAAUUACAAAUCGUUUGUGAAACGUGCAUAGUAAUCCCUGUUUCACAUGGCUGUUUUAAGAAUAAAAUGCACGAAAAAUGCCUAGCGUGCUCAAUAAACGUGAGGUGAAAUUAAACCUGAUUUGUGGCC